This 1978-nucleotide long non-coding RNA is filed under the name Solanum tuberosum (potato). Its description in RNAcentral is "long non-coding RNA (STUB_LNC008282)". Lineage: Eukaryota; Viridiplantae; Streptophyta; Magnoliopsida; Solanales; Solanaceae. The record is from RNAcentral.
AUCAACGGCUGUCGUCACCAGGUAAUCCGAAUCAUCUCUCCCUCACUCUAUCUAUCUCUAUCUCUUCUCCCUCAGUUUUAAUUCUUCUUUAUUAUUUAUGGCUCUCUAUCUGCCUUGCCUCUUGUCAGUUCCGAUUGUCGCCAGCUUACAUACUCAAGUCCUAGGUUUGGUUUCGAUUUUCUCUUCUUUUUUUUUUGUCUAUUUUAGUUUUUGUUGAUAUUCUAUUUUUAAUAAACUUUUGCCCUUGUGGUCUGCUUUAGAUUAUCUUAAUGAUUAUUAUUAUACAAGUACCAAACUAUGUGCAUAUAGUUGUAUGUUAUGUGGUUGCGAUGAAAUAUUUUGCAUCACCUCAGUGCCUUGAUUAAUUCAGUGGAGCGAGGGUUGUAAUACUUUGCUAUUUACUCAGAAAACAACACUGCUUUAUAAUUCUAAUGAAUUUUUUUCCUUUUUGUUCACUUCUACAAUAUACGUAUUGUCGUUCUCUGGUGGAUUUGGUAAUAAUUAUGUAGGAGUAAACCCAAAAGCCUUCAAAUUGGAGGAGAAUAAUAUGUAAUAACCCAAAACUCAAUAUACGUACUAUCAUUCUUUGGUGGACUACUGGUUAUUGUUCAUUUGACAAGCAAAUGUCAUUUCUCUUGUAUUAAGAAAUAUUGUUUAGUGUUCUUUCAUGGCUGCUGAUAUGUUGAAGUCUAUUAAAUUUCAAUUGAUAAUUGCUUCCUUUUCUUAUAUGUGUUUUCUCCUCUCUGAUCUUUUUCAGAAAAUAGCUAAGAUGGCUCGCUCACAUAGUUCUCUUGUACUGGUGGGUAACAACAGUAUUAUGUACCUUGUAUCAUCCCAUCCUUUGAACCUUGGAGCAGGUAUCUGCAGAUACUUCUUGUUCUGGUAACAUGAACCUUCUUGUGUUAACAUUCUCAAGGUGCUGGUUACCUUAAAUGGUCCAUUGUUUUUCAGAUAUUGUGAUGCAUUCAGCAGCUAAGUUUAUAACUCGCCAUUGUGAUUUGAUGGAGGGGUGUACUUGUGGUCACAGGAGGAAAGAUUUUUCUUCUUAUGUUCAUGACUUGAUUUACGCUUGUCAUAUGCUUUCUCAUCAUCCGUAGUGCCCUUGAGUUGCUUUCAUGGCCAAAACUAUUAGAUUACCCUGAUUGAAUAAAAAGAAGAAAAAGAAAAAUUGUCUCAAGUACUAAGUGUCUGUUGCAUAAUUAUUAAUUUACCUCAAUGUAACACUAGAAAUUUCUAAAUAAUAGUAGUUUGGAGUGCAAAACUCAUGUUUUACUUAGAAACAUAUUUGGGUACAUGCUAAUAUUAUUCUGAAACAUACAAAUCAAUUUCUUUUGUUGCACUAUGAAUAGUUGUCUAGCUCUCAAUUUGCUGAAGAUCCAUUUUGCUUACCGCAGCUGUGAGAGUGACUUGAUUGUCAAUUUUUUGUUGUUGCACCAUGAACAGUGGUCUAGCUCGCAAGAGGUUGGUUGACAUAAGCAUGGAGUCAUUACUCCUCUCUCAUAGCACUUGGUUACUCUGCAUGAGUUAUCUGGUGGUGGUCAGUGGACACAAUCUUGGUCCCGAAGCUGUGAUAAUUGUAUUCAUUCUGUAGGUUUGUUGAAUCCAUUAUCUUCCAAAGGUUUAAUAAUCACGCUAGACCUGAAAACUUCCUUCCAGGUAUGCAGUUGUGAUCUCAUGAUGAGUUGGAAAUCCUAGUCGUCUUGGAACUUCCAGUAAGACUUGUCUUGCUGUGAUGAAUCACAAGACAAGUUUGAAUGUGCAAAUUGAGACUUCCUUGAGAACAUAGGUGUAUGAGAAGGAUAAGCAGACAGAACUGAUAAAGUUUGAUGCGGCAAUUGGAUUUGAACUCCGGAGAAGGGAUGUAACCAAUUUUACUUUUUUUUGGACUUCACUUUUACUCGACUAAACUGUUGGGAAAACUAUCAAAAUAGUCCUUAAUGGGGUUGGAUUAUUCUAGUCUUUCAUAUAUAUUAAUAUA